UACAGAUGAAGAAAAUAGAGGACAGAGCAAGGAGACACAUGUGGCAUCUGACAAAAGGAAAAACGGGAUCGUGAAGAAAUCCUACGAACUCUCCUUCUGUUUUCCCCCGCUGGUAAACUCUUCCUUUUUCAUGGCAAGAAUAGUCUGCAUAACAAAGAGUUGGAACAACGGUUGGUCGCUGAAAUGCGAUUGGAAUCUAUGCACUGUGAGCUGAUUUCCAGGUUGUUAUUAAAAGAGAGAAUGGAAUCGCACACUUUAUUAUCCACUGAUUGUACACUUAUAUAGAUACAUAGAGAAUAACUAAUGGAGAGAUUUACGUAACAAUAUAUGCUAUAUGUAUGGCA
Tarenaya hassleriana is the source of this 344-nucleotide long non-coding RNA. RefSeq lists it as uncharacterized. The record is from RefSeq and is a predicted model, not a curated record. Lineage: Eukaryota; Viridiplantae; Streptophyta; Magnoliopsida; Brassicales; Cleomaceae. The transcript is spliced from 3 exons.